AGACGAGAGUAGCUUGCUACGAACUGUUUUAGCGGCGGACGGGUGAGUAACGCGUGAGCAACCUUUCCCAGACAGGGGAAUAACACACCGAAAGGUGUACUAAUACCGCAUAAGACCACGGUUUCACAUGGAACUGAGGUAAAAGAUUUAUCGGUUUGGGGUGGGCUCGCGUCCGAUUAGGUAGUAGGUGAGGUAACGGCCCACCAAGCCGACGAUCGGUAGCCGACCUGAGAGGGUGAUCGGCCACAUUGGGACUGAGACACGGCCCAAACUCCUACGGGAGGCAGCAGUGGGGAAUAUUGGGCAAUGGAGGAAACUCUGACCCAGCAACGCCGCGUGGAGGAAGAAGGUUUUCGGAUCGUAAACUCCUGUCCUUGGAGACGAGUAGAAGACGGUAUCCAAGGAGGAAGCCCCGGCUAACUACGUGCCAGCAGCCGCGGUAAUACGUAGGGGGCAAGCGUUGUCCGGAAUAAUUGGGCGUAAAGGGCGCGUAGGCGGCUCGGUAAGUCUGGAGUGAAAGUCCUGCUUUUAAGGUGGGAAUUGCUUUGGAUACUGUCGGGCUUGAGUGCAGGAGAGGUUAGUGGAAUUCCCAGUGUAGCGGUGAAAUGCGUAGAGAUUGGGAGGAACACCAGUGGCGAAGGCGACUAACUGGACUGUAACUGACGCUGAGGCGCGAAAGUGUGGGGAGCAAACAGGAUUAGAUACCCUGGUAGUCCACACUGUAAACGAUGAAUGCU
Molecule: ribosomal RNA, 737 nt
Filed under: uncultured bacterium
Lineage: Bacteria
Description: bacterial SSU rRNA
Rfam family: Bacterial small subunit ribosomal RNA
Source: RNAcentral